CGAACGGAUCUUAGGUUUAGUGGCGGACGGGUGAGUAACUCGUGAGAAUCUAGCUUCAGGUCGGGGACAACCACUGGAAACGGUGGCUAAUACCGGAUGUGCCGAAAGGUGAAAGAUUUAUUGCCUGAAGAUGAGCUCGCGUCUGAUUAGCUAGUUGGUGUGGUAAGAGCGCACCAAGGCGACGAUCAGUAGCUGGUCUGAGAGGAUGAUCAGCCACACUGGGACUGAGACACGGCCCAGACUCCUACGGGAGGCAGCAGUGGGGAAUUUUCCGCAAUGGGCGAAAGCCUGACGGAGCAAUACCGCGUGAGGGAGGAAGGCUCUUGGGUUGUAAACCUCUUUUCUCAGGGAAUAAGUUCUGAAGGUACCUGAGGAAUAAGCAUCGGCUAACUCCGUGCCAGCAGCCGCGGUAAUACGGAGGAUGCAAGCGUUAUCCGGAAUGAUUGGGCGUAAAGCGUCCGCAGGUGGCACUGUAAGUCUGCUGUUAAAGAGCAAGGCUCAACCUUGUAAAGGCAGUGGAAACUACAGAGCUAGAGUACGUUCGGGGCAGAGGGAAUUCCUGGUGUAGCGGUGAAAUGCGUAGAGAUCAGGAAGAACACCGGUGGCGAAAGCGCUCUGCUAGGCCGUAACUGACACUGAGGGACGAAAGCUAGGGGAGCGAAUGGGAUUAGAUACCCCUGUAGUCAAAA
Molecule: ribosomal RNA, 689 nt
Filed under: Anabaena sp. JP
Lineage: Bacteria; Bacillati; Cyanobacteriota; Cyanophyceae; Nostocales; Nostocaceae
Description: bacterial SSU rRNA
Rfam family: Bacterial small subunit ribosomal RNA
Source: RNAcentral